UGGGCGUAAGCGUGCGCAGGCGGUUGUUUAAGACUGAUGUGAAAUCCCCGGGCUUAACCUGGAAACUGCCUUUGUGACUGCGGGACUUGAGUGUGUCAGAGGGAGGUGGAAUUCCACGUGUAGCGGUGAAAUGCGUAAAUUUGAGUAGGAAUACCAUUGGACGCUGGCGGCUCGUCUUAUAACUGUGACUCUAAUGCACGAACGCGCUUCGACCUGGCGGCAAGUGAUACCCUGGUGAGUAACAUAUCGGAACGUGCCUUGAAUUGUCGGAUAACCAUUUCCUUGGUGGCUAAUACCGCAUACGACCUGACCGCCUGGUGAGGGAUCGCGCGACAUUAUGCUCCUAGGAAUUGACAUAUCAGAUUAACUAGUUGUGGAUGAUGUGGAUUAAUUCGGUGACGAUCAAAAAACCUUACUGACCCUUGACAUGGAUGGAACCUCACUGAGAUUGGAGGGUGCUCCUACGGGAGCCAUCACAUGGGUAAUUUUGGACAAUGGGGGCAACCCUGUAUCCAAGAUGUGCCGGUUGUGUCCCGCAACGCCUUCAACUUGUUGUCAUUUUUUGCUUCGGGAAGAAAUCUCUUCUGGCUACUGCCUGUGACAAGAUGACAGGAACCGUGAAGGAAUGA
This 629-nucleotide ribosomal RNA is filed under the name uncultured bacterium. RNAcentral's name for it is "partial 16S rRNA". It matches the Rfam family "Bacterial small subunit ribosomal RNA", at positions 555 to 1182 of the family's 1533-position model. The record is from RNAcentral.